RNAcentral lists this ribosomal RNA (1095 nucleotides) under Protapanteles sp. 1 SNS-2016. RNAcentral describes it as "16S ribosomal RNA". Lineage: Eukaryota; Metazoa; Arthropoda; Insecta; Hymenoptera; Braconidae. The record is from RNAcentral.
UUUUAAAUUUCUCGAAUUUAAAAAAUUUAAAUUUUUAUUUUUAUUAAUAUAUAAAUAUUAAAUGUAAUAAAAAUUUAGAAACGAUAAAUUAAACAAUUUUAAAUAUAUCUAGUUAUUUAAUAAAUAAAUUUAAUUUAUUUUUAAUUUAAAAUUUUAAUUUUUUUUAAAAUUUAAUUUAAAAUUAAAAAAAUAAUUUAAGGGAUAAACUUUAAAUUAAUUUUAUAAAUUUAAUAUUAAAUUUUAUAAUUUAAAAAUAAAAUUAUUUUUAAUUAAAAAAUAUUUAAUAAUUUUAUAAAUUUAUUUAAUUAAUUUAAUAAUAAAUUUUAAUUUUUUAUUAAAUUAUUAAAUUUAAUAAAAUAAUUUAAAAAAUAAUGAUUAAAUUAGUAAUUUAAUAAUAAUUUAAAUUUUAUAAAUUUUAAAUUAAAAAUUAAUUUUAAUUAACUCGGCAAAUUAAUAUAUUCACCUGUUUAUCAAAAACAUGUCUUAUUGAUUAAUAAUUUUAAGUCAAAUCUGCUCAAUGAAUUUAUUUAAAUAGCUGCAGUAUAAAUAACUGUACAAAGGUAGCAUAAUAAUUAGUUUUUUAAUUAAAAACUGGAAUGAAUGAUUUAAUGAAAUAUAAUCUGUAUCAAAUUUAAUAAAUAAAUUUAUUUUUUAAAUUAAAAAAUUUAAAUAAUUUUUAAAGACGAGAAGACCCUAAAGAAUUUUAAUAAUUUUUUUUUAAAAAAAAUUAAAUUAUUUUUAUUGGGGAAAUUUUAAAAUUUAAUUAAUUUUUAAUUAAAUUAAACAUUUAUUUUUGAAUAAUUUUUUUUUUUUAAAAAAAAAAUUAAAUUACCUUAGGGAUAACAGCAUAAUUUUUUUAAAAAGCUCAAAUUUAUAAAAAAGUUUAUGACCUCGAUGUUGAAUUAAGAUUAAUUUAAUAGAAAAAUAUUAAAAAUUUAAGUCUGUUCGACUUUUAAAAUCUUACAUGAUUUGAGUUAAGAUCGGUGUAAACCAGAUCGGAUUCUAUCUUAAAUUUAUUUAAAUAUUUUUGUACGAAAGGAAUUUUUAUUUAAAAUAAUUUUUUAUACUAAUAAUUUUAUUUAAAUUAAUAAUUAA